Molecule: long non-coding RNA, 206 nt
Filed under: Nicotiana benthamiana
Lineage: Eukaryota; Viridiplantae; Streptophyta; Magnoliopsida; Solanales; Solanaceae
Description: long non-coding RNA (NBEN_LNC041698)
Source: RNAcentral
GAGGUCCGUAGUACAUUUAGACUUGAAUUAGAGAAAAUGGAUUUGGUUGAUAAGUGAGAUUUGGUAUAGGGGCCGGAAUGGAAUUCCGGGAGUUUUAGUAAGUCCGUUGUGUCAUUUGGGACGUGUGUGCAAAAUUUCAGGUCAUUCGGAUGUAGUUUGAUAAAUUCAUUGAUCAAAAGCGAAAUUCGGAAGAAUUUGGAACCUUA